GACUUCGUCUCGUCAGGUCAAUGAAUAGUUCACGGUCAUGAAAGAUAAGAAUGUGCCGAUCUCUGUCAGAACACUUGUUCCAGCGUGCGCCAAGGGGACAGCAAUGGUCGGCUAGAGUAAGCCGUUUCUGUCAUUCAUCGUUGUCCGUCGGGAAAACCAAAAAACGCCGUGAAACUUAAUGGCGAGAUGCAGUGUGUAAAAGCUGCCAUUCUGAUGGACUUCAUCUGGAUGAGCAAAGGGAUUUUCGACAUUGGAAGAAGGAAACAAUCUGACGUGCUCAUUUAUUCGUCGCUCGCAGCUGCAAGUUUUCUGGCGUAUGGAAUAUUUCCUCCCGCACAUGUACCGGUCGAGACAAAUCCCUACAAAGAUUUGACCGUCGCGCACCCUCUGUCGUCAGAAACCGUCGUCUGCUCAACGAACAACACGCACAUUCUUAGCACGUGGAGACAUACGCCAUAUGUGUUUCUUGGGAAGUCGAGUAACCAGACUGCGAUCUUUUUGUCUAACAAUCCUGCAUUGAAUGACGCCUUAGCGAUUUACAUUCGCCGAAUGUCGAGUAACCAGUCAACAUUUUUUCUGUCUCACAAUGAUGCAACGAACGACGUCAUGACGUCAUACUAUGGCGGAAACGUUGACGGUGAAAUAAAAGCCGAGAAGUUUGCAUAUAAUUGUCAUGCAUUUUCAACUGCAGACAACGAUGUUUGUAGGAAUGAUUUUGUGUUAAAACAAACGUACAUACAAGACUCAUAUUUCAGAAUCGAAGACGUUUUCAAUGGAAAACAACAACAUGUUGAACAAUUCGUUAGAUUCUAUCCACAUCAGUUAGGUGACAUUCUCAGUGUAUCUAUUACGCAGAAACGUCGCCUACACGUGAAAGUCGACCCAUACCCGGAAGUGCACAUUUCCGUUCGGAGCACCGCGAACACACGCGCUUUCCACUGGUAUCUGUGAAAUGUAUAUCUACCGCACUUAAACAACAAUGCAAUUUUAUGUUAUUAAAAUAACUAUUUCUUGUACAAAGGUCAUAUUGUAAUUUUUCUUCUAAGAAAUUCGGGUCUUUCGAUACACAUUGAUUUGAAUAAAUCGUGUGAACAAUA
RNA transcript from Dreissena polymorpha, 1097 nucleotides. RefSeq lists it as uncharacterized. The transcript has 3 exons. Lineage: Eukaryota; Metazoa; Mollusca; Bivalvia; Myida; Dreissenidae. The record is from RefSeq and is a predicted model, not a curated record.